UCACACACAACAAAGGCUAAA
Molecule: non-coding RNA, 21 nt
Organism: Caenorhabditis elegans
Lineage: Eukaryota; Metazoa; Nematoda; Chromadorea; Rhabditida; Rhabditidae
Source: Ensembl